RNAcentral lists this ribosomal RNA (276 nucleotides) under uncultured bacterium. RNAcentral describes it as "partial 16S ribosomal RNA". It matches the Rfam family "Bacterial small subunit ribosomal RNA", at positions 47 to 339 of the family's 1533-position model. The record is from RNAcentral.
CUUAACACAUGCAAGUCGAACGAGAAGUCAUCCUUCGGGAUGGCGGGCAGCGGCGAACGGGUGAGUAACGCGUGGGAACCUGCCCUUCGGUACGGGACAACCAUGGGAAACUGUGGCUAAUACCGUAUAUUCCCUAAGGGGGAAAGAUUUAUCGCCGAGGGAUGGGCCCGCGUCCGAUUAGCUUGUUGGUGAGGUAACGGCUCACCGAGGCAACGAUCGGUAGCUGGUCUGAGAGGAUGAUCAGCCACACUGGGACUGAGAUACGGCCCAGACUCC